CUACGGGCUGCAGCAGUGAGGAAUAUUGCACAAUGGAGGAAACUCUGAUGCAGCAACGCCGCGUGGAGGAUGACGCAUUUCGGUGUGUAAACUCCUUUUAUAUGUCAAGAAAAUGACGGUAGCAUAUGAAUAAGCACCGGCUAACUCCGUGCCAGCAGCCGCGGUAAUACGGAGGGUGCAAGCGUUACUCGGAAUCACUGAGCGUAAAGGACGCGUAGGCGGGAUAUCAAGUCAGGUGUGAAAUCCUACAGCUUAACUGUAGAACUGCACUUGAAACUGGUAACCUAGAGUAUGGGAGGGGGAGAUGGAAUUAGUGGUGUAGGGGUAAAAUCCGUAGAUAUCACUAGGAAUACCUAAAGCGAAGGCGAUCUCCUGGAACAUAACUGACGCUAAGGCGUGAAAGCGUGGGGAGCAAACAGGAUUAGAUACCCCUGUAGUC
This 439-nucleotide ribosomal RNA is filed under the name uncultured bacterium. Its description in RNAcentral is "partial 16S ribosomal RNA". It matches the Rfam family "Bacterial small subunit ribosomal RNA", at positions 339 to 795 of the family's 1533-position model. The record is from RNAcentral.